UGAUGUCCAGGAUCUGCAAAACUGAUCAUCUAGAACACUUCAUCUGAGUUGAAACACUAUCAAUCAAGCUUCAUAAGAUCUAUUCAACAACUCAUGAAAAAAAGAGAAGACGAUGAAACAUAUGUUCUGUACACACAUGCCUUUCAAAAUAGUUCCCUAAAAAACCUUGUUUCGCAUAACUCUGGCGAUGGCCAAGCCCGGGAGCCUUUAGUCGAUGAGGACCAGACUAAGCUGACACUCCCAUGGUUGCAUACAUCAACCAUGCCCUCCCAAAAUCAGAUCUACUCAUUCUUAAUGACAUUUAUAAUCACAUCUACAUACAUGAAAACAUGAGUAUAAUCAGAAAAUGAAGAGGCUGGUAAAGGGCCACCAAAACAGAGAAGAGGCAUGCCUAAAGCAUAUUCAUGAUAAUGUAAAAAAGAAAUCAGUUAGUAAGCUCAACAAAACAAAUGGUAGUCUAUAACACCAUUACAUAGGGCAAAGGGACAUUAGUUUUCCGGCAUUGUCCAGUGAUGCAGGGAUAAGGGGAACAUGACAAUAAUAUACGUAGAUUCAUAGCCAAAGGUAGACCACCCAAAUAAGGGGAACAUGACAAAGAUGAGACGAUCAACCAACGAACUAACACAACAGCACACAAAGCAAGCACUACAGAGAAGUCCUCAGCUUGAUCAACCAACCAUUGCAUAAAGAAAAUAUAAAAGUAUGACAACUAAACAAAAUAGAAGAAUCUAAGCUUAAGUGGCGAACAAAUAGCUUCUGCACUCACUGCAUAUAGCCAAUUAGCUAUACUAUCAUGUACUAAAAUAAAGAAUAGUUUGUUUGCCUGAAAGCUAUUUUCUGAUAUCCAUCGCAUCAAAUCGAUUUAGGAUUUAACUCCACAAGAACCAAAAGUAUCAGUGUGUGCACAUUUUAGUUAUGUAUCCUAAAAGGCAGUAGGUUUAGAAGUAUCAUAAGAAACCAGAGAAUGAACUUUCCUGCCUCACCUAUCAUCUGGAGAUUAAUAGAAGGCCAAACCGACGCUGCCAAGCAUUUUUAGAAUUGGAUCCCAAACAAAUGGGAAAUGAUGCCUAGAAUGAAAAGGCUGCACAAGGCACACAAGAAUAAUCUAAAGCAGGGUAAUUAAAAAAUUGAAUAUUACCAA
RNAcentral lists this long non-coding RNA (1141 nucleotides) under Triticum aestivum (bread wheat). RNAcentral's name for it is "long non-coding RNA (TAES_LNC022361)". The record is from RNAcentral. Lineage: Eukaryota; Viridiplantae; Streptophyta; Magnoliopsida; Poales; Poaceae.